GCGAGCGUGGCGGAAAGGCAGACGCGCUAGAUUCAGGAUCUAGUGGGAAUUACUCCCGUGGAGGUUCAAGUCCUCUCGCUCGCACCA
RNAcentral lists this transfer RNA (87 nucleotides) under Bacillota bacterium. RNAcentral describes it as "Firmicutes bacterium (anaerobic digester metagenome) tRNA-Leu". It matches the Rfam family "tRNA". From Rfam's summary of the family: Transfer RNA (tRNA) molecules are approximately 80 nucleotides in length. Lineage: Bacteria; Bacillati; Bacillota. RNAcentral also lists the same sequence under 1 other name. The record is from RNAcentral.